Molecule: unclassified non-coding RNA, 1609 nt
Filed under: Leishmania donovani
Lineage: Eukaryota; Euglenozoa; Kinetoplastea; Trypanosomatida; Trypanosomatidae
Description: gene:LdHU3.22.1620(CDS-product:hypothetical_prote in_conserved)
Source: RNAcentral
AGGGAGGCGCUACACGGAGACAGACACGCCGACUUAUUCACAUACGCGAAGGGAUUACCUCGGGUGCCGGCCACAGAGAAGCACGACCGCCCCGCUCAGUCCGUCACGCACACGCACUAAAACACGGACAAGAGACACACGUUGACGGCUUGGAUCGCCGAGUUGCUAGAAGCUCUACGGCACUGAACACCGCCGCGACAGACACGUGAAAGGCAAUACGGCUCGGCAUACAACCUGAACAGGCCGUAAUGGAGUGUUGGUGUACCACGCAUCACAUCCGCGAAUUGCUGGAUGAGUUUGUGGUUGAGUUUCUUCGCGCCGAAGCGGCGUCGGCGCCAGUAGAAUUGCAUCCAGAACUGAAAGGCGUUGAUGCUUCCGGUACUCGUGCAACUGCAUUCGCGGCGCCGCCUUCAGCACAGGUAUACGGCGAGCUUUACAAGCGCGCUGGUGGAGAAGCCUACGCAUACCACGCGGGUGAGCUCUUAGAGAAGUCGUCUUUCCAGCCGACCAUCGCUGCUCUCCGUGCCUUCUUGCAAGGCAAGAAGGAUGCGAAGGCGAUGUGGCAGUCGGCGCACCCAUACAUCGUUGUGCUUGUCGAAGGUGGCCUAGCAGCGUGUGAGCCAUGCGAAGCUUCAGCCUCAUCCUUGUCGCUCCCACCGCAGCUGCAGCCUGCUGAGCAGCCGCCGACGGAAGCGUCGCUCUCAUCCACCGUUCCGUCAGCGCAGAGGGCGGCCUUUUCCGCUAUUGUGGCGGCGGCAGCGCAGUCCGUUGCCCGUGGCAUUGGCGGGCUCGUGCAUUCGUCGAUGCCUGCGAUGCUGCCCGAGCAGGAUGCGGUCGCGCGCCAGCUUCAUCGACCGCUGCAGCAGCAACAGCAGAAGAAGUUACUCCAGCAGCUCGAGCGGGACGUAGCGAGCAGGACCGGUGCACCCAUGGUGGGCACCGCAUCGUUUGCAGGUGGUGGCGGCGCUGCUGCUACUGCUGCGCAGUCCACCCCGGAAGCGGCGUAUGCAUCAGCGGCCGCGCUGCGCACACCAGUUGUGCUUGUCGGCGAAUGGUGGCCCUACACCAUCGCGGAUGGUCUGGCGGUGGAGGGGCUUCUGGGCUCUCCAGUCGCGGUCUUCUCCGUGUCGAUGAACGAGAAGGGCACAGCAGAGGAGAGCAGCGCAGGCAACAACAGCUGUGACUCCUCAUGCGGAGCUUCAUUAACGCUCUUGCAGCUCGCAUCCCGGUGCGGCUCAAACGCGCACGCAGCGCUCUUAGAGUACUACGCCGCCAAGAAGAAGCUGACGGCGCUGACGGUGCCGGCCAGUGUCUGCCGCGCUGUGGCGCAGGAGGCAUCGCCGCACGAUUUCGAGCCAGGUACGGUGGCAAGGGCAGCUGCGGAGUCGCUGGCAGAGCAGAUUGCACGCCAUUUGCGUUAGAGCCUUCACCCACCGUAGCGAGGGGUCGGGGCGGCGAGCACGAACGACCAUUACAGGAGCUCAUACGCCGCCCCUCCCCCCUCGUCCCUUCGAUGUGCCUUCGUUUUCUUCGCUUUUUCUUCGACACUGCUGCCCCCCCCCCCCCCCCCCCCCAACACACACACACACACACACACCGUGGCGCGCAG